UACGUAGGUGGCAAGCGUUUCCGGAUUUACUGGGCGUAAAGAGCGCGCAGGCGGUCGUUCAAGCCGCGUGUGAAAGCCCCCGGCUCAACUGGGGAGGGUCACGCGAUACUGAUCGACUCGAAGGCAGGAGAGGGUAGUGGAAUUCCCGGUGUAGUGGUGAAAUGCGUAGAUAUCGGGAGGAACACCAGUGGCGAAGGCGACUACCUGGCCUGUUCUUGACGCUGAGGCGCGAAAGCUAGGGGAGCAAACGGG
This 252-nucleotide ribosomal RNA is filed under the name uncultured bacterium. Its description in RNAcentral is "partial 16S ribosomal RNA". It matches the Rfam family "Bacterial small subunit ribosomal RNA", at positions 524 to 776 of the family's 1533-position model. The record is from RNAcentral.